GUGCUCGCUUUGGCAGCACAUAUACUAAAAUUGGAAUGAUACAGAGAAGAUUAGCAUGGCUCCUGCACAAGGAUGACACGCAAAUUUGUGUCAUUCGUAUUU
This 102-nucleotide small nuclear RNA is filed under the name Naja naja (Indian cobra). The record is from RNAcentral. Lineage: Eukaryota; Metazoa; Chordata; Lepidosauria; Squamata; Elapidae.